GAUGAACGCUGGCGGCGUGCCUAAUACAUGCGAGUCGAGCGAACAGACGAGGAGCUUGCUCCUCUGACGUUAGCGGCGGACGGGUGAGUAACACGUGGAUAACCUACCUAUAAGACUGGGAUAACUUCGGGAAACCGGAGCUAAUACCGGAUAAUAUAUCGAACCGCAUGGUUCAAUAGUGAAAGACGGUUUUGCUGUCACUUAUAGAUGGAUCCGCGCCGCAUUAGCUAGUUGGUAAGGUAACGGCUUACCAAGGCAACGAUGCGUAGCCGACCUGAGAGGGUGAUCGGCCACACUGGAACUGAGACACGGUCCAGACUCCUACGGGAGGCAGCAGUAGGGAAUCUUCCGCAAUGGGCGAAAGCCUGACAGAGCAACGCCGCGUGAGUGAUGAAGGUCUUCGGGUCGUAAAACUCUGUUAUUAGGGAAGAACAAAUGUGUAAGUAACUAUGCACGUCUUGACGGUACCUAAUCAGAAAGCCACGGCUAACUACGUG
Molecule: ribosomal RNA, 497 nt
Filed under: uncultured bacterium
Lineage: Bacteria
Description: partial 16S ribosomal RNA
Rfam family: Bacterial small subunit ribosomal RNA
Source: RNAcentral